AGACGGAGCUCGCGGUGAGGAGGCAUGGAUGAACCCACUUAUGGGACUUAGCAAAAGCAAAGGCUCCUCAGGUAAGUCCAGCUCUUCAAUUCGGAAAACCAAGAGUAAGAGUCAGGACAGACAUGCGGACAGGUCAACAAGCAGCCGGCCUAGCUCUAGUUCCAAUACUUCCAGCAUUCAUGGAUCUAUAAAAACAAGUUUGAAAUCUCCACGGAGUAUUAGUGAAACUGGUAAACAGCACAAGUCGAAAACCUUUGUUAUUCCCCAAAUCAUCGUUACUCGAGCUUCCACCGACCUGGGUAUACCACCAGAGGAAGAAGGGCAAAAGACCAUAAGGGACAAGAUGGACUAUGGUCCCUACUACCGACACAGGAACCCCAGCACUGUUGACGCGUACACUAAAACCCAGCCUGAGGCUCCGAAACCCAAAUCAUUCCUGUAGUGGUCCUCUGAGACUCAAUGCCAUCUUCAAGAUGUGGUUAAAGCACUUUGGCCUCUUCUCUGGCAAGCAGGCUUGGCCUCACUUCUCCCAAUGCCACAUGCAGCUUGGAGGAAAGCAGGAAUGACUUUGGAAAGUGAACUAGGAAGCUUUGUUUAAAUAAAUAAAG
Molecule: long non-coding RNA, 608 nt
Filed under: Vombatus ursinus (common wombat)
Lineage: Eukaryota; Metazoa; Chordata; Mammalia; Diprotodontia; Vombatidae
Description: lncRNA (ENSVURG00010020695.1)
Source: RNAcentral